GGGGCUGUAGCUCAGAUGGAUAGAGCAAGCGCCUCCUAAGCGCUGUUAGCAACGGUUCAAGUCCGUUCAGUCCCG
Molecule: transfer RNA, 75 nt
Filed under: Cyanobacterium aponinum PCC 10605
Lineage: Bacteria; Bacillati; Cyanobacteriota; Cyanophyceae; Chroococcales; Geminocystaceae
Also listed under: 9 other names
Description: tRNA-Arg (CCT) (tRNA-Arg-CCT-1-1)
Rfam family: tRNA
About the family: Transfer RNA (tRNA) molecules are approximately 80 nucleotides in length.
Source: Rfam by way of RNAcentral